CCUACGGGAGGCAGCAGUAAGGAAUAUUGGUCAAUGGGCGCAAGCCUGAACCAGCCAUGCCGCGUGCAGGAUGACGGCCCUCUGGGUUGUAAACUGCUUUUAUACGGGAAGAACAGCAUCUACGUGUAGGUGUUUGACGGUACUGUAAGAAUAAGGACCGGCUAACUUCGUGCCAGCAGCCGCGGUAAUACGAAGGGUCCAAGCGUUAUCCGGAUUUAUUGGGUUUAAAGGGUGCGUAGGCGGCUUUUUAAGUCAGUGGUGAAAGCCUGAUGCUCAACAUCAGAACUGCCAUUGAUACUGAAGAGCUUGAGUACAGUUGAGGUUGGCGGAAUGUGUCAUGUAGCGGUGAAAUGCUUAGAUAUGACACAGAACACCGAUUGCGAAGGCAGCUAGCUAAGCUGUUACUGACGCUGAUGCACGAAAGCGUGGGGAGCAAACAGGAUUAGAUACCCUGGUAGUCCACGCCCUAAACGUUGAUAACUCGUUGUUAGCGAUAUACUGUUAGCGACCAAGCGAAAGCAUUAAGUUAUCCACCUGGAAGUACGGUCGCAAGAUUGAAACUUANAAGAGAGUAGACGNGUAGAGUUAGCGACGAGGCGACACGGAGGGUAGGAG
Molecule: ribosomal RNA, 615 nt
Filed under: uncultured bacterium
Lineage: Bacteria
Description: bacterial SSU rRNA
Rfam family: Bacterial small subunit ribosomal RNA
Source: RNAcentral